RNAcentral lists this ribosomal RNA (483 nucleotides) under uncultured bacterium. RNAcentral describes it as "bacterial SSU rRNA". It matches the Rfam family "Bacterial small subunit ribosomal RNA", at positions 373 to 848 of the family's 1533-position model. The record is from RNAcentral.
GGGGGCAACCCUGAUCCAGCCAUGCCGCGUGAGUGAAGAAGGCCUUCGGGUUGUAAAGCUCUUUCGGGAGGAACGAAACGGUUCGGGCUAAUAACUUGAACUUCUGACGGUACCUCAAGAAGAAGCACCGGCUAACUACGUGCCAGCAGCCGCGGUAAUACGUAGGGUGCGAGCGUUAAUCGGAAUUACUGGGCGUAAAGCGUGCGCAGGUGGUUCGUUAAGACAGAUGUGAAAUCCCCGGGCUUAACCUGGGAACUGCGUUUGUGACUGGCGGGCUAGAGUCGUUGAGAGGGAGGUAGAAUUCCACGUGUAGCAGUGAAAUGCGUAGAUAUGUGGAGGAAUACCGAUGGCGAAGGCAGCCUCCUGGCAACUGACUGACACUCAUGCACGAAAGCGUGGGGAGCAAACAGGAUUAGAUACCCUGGUAGUCCACGCCCUAAACGAUGUCAACUGGUUGUUGGGUAACUUGUUUACUCAGUAACG